GCAAGCAGAAGUCACGCAUUUCAUGUGUUGUGAAGCAAUGGUGAGGUUCAGAAAUACAAGCUGUCUAUGAAGAUAUGAGUUUUGAUCUCUGCAAAAUGGACAAUAGUGAAAACUAUCACUUUCCAACAGACACAGAGGAUGAUAUUUAUGUGAAUACAGAAGACUGUCGCUCAGAGCUGAAAAAAUCAGAUAUCUCUGACCGCACUGAGCUGAAAGACAAGAAGAAACCAGGAAAGAUCUUCAGAUCUGCUUUUGGUCUCCUCCUAAUACUUGGUGUUUUAUUAACACUCUGUGUUGUAGGGAUCCUUUGUAAGUGUUAAG
Long non-coding RNA from Tachysurus vachellii, 321 nucleotides. RefSeq lists it as uncharacterized. The transcript has 3 exons. NCBI's taxonomy places the organism in Eukaryota, Metazoa, Chordata, Actinopteri, Siluriformes, Bagridae. The record is from RefSeq and is a predicted model, not a curated record.